RNAcentral lists this ribosomal RNA (405 nucleotides) under uncultured bacterium. RNAcentral's name for it is "bacterial SSU rRNA". It matches the Rfam family "Bacterial small subunit ribosomal RNA", at positions 355 to 776 of the family's 1533-position model. The record is from RNAcentral.
UGAGGAAUAUUGCACAAUGGGCGAAAGCCUGAUGCAGCGACGCCGCGUGCGGGAAGAAGGCCUUCGGGUUGUAAACCGCUUUUCUGGGGGACGAGCAAGGACGGUACCUCAGGAAUAAGUCCCGGCUAACUACGUGCCAGCAGCCGCGGUAAUACGUAGGGGGCAAGCGUUAUCCGGAAUCACUGGGCGUAAAGGGCGUCUAGGCGGCAAGGCAAGUCUCGCGUAAAAGCUCCCGGCUCAACUGGGAGAGCGCGCGGGAAACUGCCUGGCUAGAGACUCGGAGAGGGGUGUGGAAUUCCCGGUGGAGUGGUGAAAUGCGUUGAGAUCGGGAGGAACACCAGUAGCGAAGGCGGCACCCUGGCCGAGUUCUGACGCUGAAGCGCGACAGCGUGGGGAGCAAACGGG